Molecule: ribosomal RNA, 253 nt
Filed under: uncultured bacterium
Lineage: Bacteria
Description: partial 16S ribosomal RNA
Rfam family: Bacterial small subunit ribosomal RNA
Source: RNAcentral
GACAGAGGUCCCGAGCGUUAGGCGGAAUCACUGGGCUUAAAGCGUGUGUAGGCGGCGGCCUAAGUACCUUGUGAAAUCCCACGGCUCAACCGUGGAACCGCUGGGUAUACUGGUUGUCUUGAGCCGGCUAGGGGCGAGCGGAACAGACGGUGGAGCGGUGAAAUGCGUAGAUAUCGUCUGGAACGCCGAAGGUGAAAACAGCUCGCUGGGGCCGCGCUGACGCUGAGACACGAAAGCCAGGGGAGCGAACGGG